This 230-nucleotide ribosomal RNA is filed under the name uncultured microorganism. RNAcentral's name for it is "partial 16S ribosomal RNA". It matches the Rfam family "Bacterial small subunit ribosomal RNA", at positions 524 to 753 of the family's 1533-position model. The record is from RNAcentral.
UACGUAGGGUGCAAGCGUUAAUCGGAAUUACUGGGCGUAAAGCGUGCGCAGGCGGUUUUGUAAGUCUGUCGUGAAAGCCCCGGGCUCAACCUGGGAAUUGCGAUGGAGACUGCAAGGCUUGAAUCUGGCAGAGGGGGGUAGAAUUCCACGUGUAGCAGUGAAAUGCGUAGAGAUGUGGAGGAACACCGAUGGCGAAGGCAGCCCCCUGGGUCAAGAUUGACGCUCAUGCA